AUUAGACUGGCGGAUUCGUUAAGGUCUAGAAAAACCUUCUAUACACACUUUGUUUUCUUAUUAGAGACAAUUUUGCUUUGGUCAGCUACUGCGUAAAACCAGUUGGCAGGCCAGAGGUUUUCAAACAAAACUCUUUGACUCUUUGGAGUCUUAGCGAAUUAUAAACUUUAGUCAUUAAUUAUUUGACGAGAAGAAAUUCUCUGAAACAAAAAUUAAAACUUUCAACAACGGAUCUCUUGGUUCUCGCAUCGAUGAAGAACGCAGCGAAAUGCGAUACGUAAUGUGAAUUGCAGAUUUUCGUGAAUCAUUGAAUCUUUGAACGCACAUUGCGCCCUCUGGUAUUCCAGAGGGCAUGCCUGUUUGAGCGUCAUUUCCCUCUCAAACCCUUGGGUUUGGUGAUGGGUGAUACUUCUCUUUACCGGGAAGUUCACUUGAAAUGGAUCGGCAUGAGUUUUUGUUAAACGUCUUGAUUGUUUAUUCAAUGUAUUAGGUUUUACCAUCGUUGAUUGACGGUCGUGGUGUAUUUCAAAGUAUAGGCUCUGCUUGACAAACUUAUAUCAUAAAGUUUGACCUCAAAUCAGGUAGGAUUACCCGCUGAACUUAAGCAUAUCAAU
This 614-nucleotide ribosomal RNA is filed under the name Ambrosiozyma platypodis. RNAcentral describes it as "eukaryotic LSU rRNA". The stretch from base 217 to 370 matches the Rfam family "5.8S ribosomal RNA". The record is from RNAcentral. Lineage: Eukaryota; Fungi; Ascomycota; Pichiomycetes; Pichiales; Pichiaceae.